This 468-nucleotide ribosomal RNA is filed under the name uncultured bacterium. RNAcentral's name for it is "partial 16S ribosomal RNA". It matches the Rfam family "Bacterial small subunit ribosomal RNA", at positions 28 to 507 of the family's 1533-position model. The record is from RNAcentral.
GACGAACGCUGGCGGCGUGCUUAACACAUGCAAGUCGAACGGAAAGGCCCUGCUUUUGUGGGGUGCUCGAGUGGCGAACGGGUGAGUAACACGUGAGUAACCUGCCCUUGACUUUGGGAUAACUUCAGGAAACUGGGGCUAAUACCGGAUAGGAGCUCCUGCUGCAUGGUGGGGGUUGGAAAGUUUCGGCGGUUGGGGAUGGACUCGCGGCUUAUCAGCUUGUUGGUGGGGUAGUGGCUUACCAAGGCUUUGACGGGUAGCCGGCCUGAGAGGGUGACCGGCGACAAUGGGACAGAGGGACGGCGCAGACUCCGACGGGAGGGAGCAGUGAGGAAUAUUGCACAAUGGGCGGAAGCCUGAUGCAGCAACGCCGCGUGCGGGAUGACGGCCUUCGGGUGUUAAACCGCUUUCGCCUGUGACGAAGAGUGAGUGACGGUAAUGGGUAAAGAAGCACCGGCUAACUACGUG